RNAcentral lists this ribosomal RNA (497 nucleotides) under uncultured bacterium. RNAcentral describes it as "partial 16S ribosomal RNA". It matches the Rfam family "Bacterial small subunit ribosomal RNA", at positions 28 to 507 of the family's 1533-position model. The record is from RNAcentral.
GACGAACGCUGGCGGCGUGCCUAAUACAUGCAAGUAGAACGCUGAAGCGAGGAGCUUGCUCUUCUUGGCUGAGUUGCGAACGGGUGAGUAACGCGUAGGUAACCUGCCUUGUAGCGGGGGAUAACUAUUGGAAACGAUAGCUAAUACCGCAUAACACUGGAUGACACAUGUCAUUUAUUUGCAAGGGGCAAUUGCUCCACUACAAGAUGGAUCUGCGUUGUAUUAGCUAGUAGGUGAGGUAAUGGCUCACCUAGGCGACGAUACAUAGCCGACCUGAGAGGGUGAUCGGCCACACUGGGACUGAGACACGGCCCAGACUCCUACGGGGGGCAGCAGUAGGGAAUCAUCGGCAAUGGGGGCAACCCUGACCGAGCAACGCCGCGUGAGGGAAGAAGGUUUUCGGAUCGUAAAGCUCUGUUGUAAGUCAAGAACGGGUGUGAGAGUGGAAAGUUCACACUGUGACGGUAGCUUAACAGAAAGGGACGGCUAACUACGUG